GGGAUUGCCCUAGUAACGGCGAGUGAAGCGGCAACAGCUCAAAUUUGAAAUCUGGCUCUUUCAGAGUCCGAGUUGUAAUUUGCAGAGGGCGCUUUGGCGUUGGCAGCGGUCCAAGUUCUUUGGAACAGGACGUCACAGAGGGUGAGAAUCCCGUACGUGGUCGCUAGCCUUCGCCGUGUAAAGCCCCUUCGACGAGUCGAGUUGUUUGGGAAUGCAGCUCUAAAUGGGAGGUAAAUUUCUUCUAAAGCUAAAUACUGGCCAGAGACCGAUAGCGCACAAGUAGAGUGAUCGAAAGAUGAAAAGCACUUUGGAAAGAGAGUCAAAUAGCACGUGAAAUUGUUGAAAGGGAAGCGCUUGCAGCCAGACUUGCCUGUAGUUGCUUAUCCGGACUUUUGUCCGGUGCACUCUUCUGCGGGCAGGCCAGCAUCAGUUUGGGCGGUUGGAUAAAGGUCUCUGUCAUGUACCUCCUUUCGGGGAGGCCUUAUAGGGGAGACGACAUGCAACCAGCCUGGACUGAGGUCCGCGCAUCUGCUAGGAUGCUGGCGUAAUGGCUGUAAGCGGCCCGUCUUGAAACACGGACCAAGGAGUCUAACAUCUAUGCGAGUGUUUGGGUGUCAAGCCCAGACGCGUAAUGAAAGUGAACGGAGGUGGGAACCUUUUAGGUGCACCAUCGACCGAUCCUGAUGUCUUCGGAAGGAUUUGAGUAAGAGCAUGGCUGUUGGGACCCGAAAGAUGGUGAACUAUGCUUGAAUAGGGUGAAGCCAGAGGAAACUCUGGUGGAGGCUCGCAGCGGUUCUGACGUGCAAAUCGAUCGUCAAAUUUGGGCAUAGGGGCG
RNAcentral lists this ribosomal RNA (835 nucleotides) under Septoria arundinacea. RNAcentral's name for it is "eukaryotic LSU rRNA". It matches the Rfam family "Eukaryotic large subunit ribosomal RNA", at positions 71 to 925 of the family's 3401-position model. Lineage: Eukaryota; Fungi; Ascomycota; Dothideomycetes; Mycosphaerellales; Mycosphaerellaceae. The record is from RNAcentral.